UCAGAAUGGUGGUCUGUAUUCCUAUGU
Molecule: non-coding RNA, 27 nt
Filed under: Rattus norvegicus (Norway rat)
Lineage: Eukaryota; Metazoa; Chordata; Mammalia; Rodentia; Muridae
Source: RNAcentral